UCCAACAGCCUCGCUCCUGCGCAAGGGUGUGCCCAAACCCUAGCCGCCCUCUUCCGAUCUCUCCCCUCUGACUCGCCAUACAUAGCUGCGGCGGCGCGCAGCCAUGGAGACUCAGUGGUGGGCGCGGCCGUGCUCGCGUGCUCGGAGCUGCAAACUGGAGGCGCCGAUGUGAACCGAGGAGGAAGAGGUCUUCCGUGUGGAUCUCAGCGACGACGUUUAGUCCCACGACUUGUUCCACCAGAUCCAGGUGCCCGGCGAUGAGGAUGAGGAGCAGCGACUUGCACCAGUAGAUCCAGAUGUCUAGGAAUGAGGAUGAGAAGCGGUGCCCUGGCAUACGGUAGAAAUCUCCAUGAAUGGUGGCUUUCUACCGUAACUUCCCCUUGGUUCCCCCUCAAAUCGAUCUUCAAUUUUUAGCCUUUCAAGUGUAUGGGACUCUUAUGCCUCCAUGUCUUCUUGCCAUUUUUUAUUCUCUCUUUUGUAUAGCGUGUACAAAAAUUGCAAGUUCUUUAUUCUUGCGGUUGGCAGACCAACUUUUUGUAGUAGUUCACUUCACACUCAAGAACCUGUAUACGGUAGAGUAUUGUGUAGUUCAUGGUGUGUGACCCCUGGUUCCCCUAUCCUAAUGGCAUUAUGUAAAACAGAUAGAAGCAACAAUUUAACCCCUGAUCUUCUUA
Sorghum bicolor (sorghum) is the source of this 674-nucleotide long non-coding RNA. RefSeq lists it as uncharacterized. The transcript is spliced from 2 exons. The record is from RefSeq and is a predicted model, not a curated record. NCBI's taxonomy places the organism in Eukaryota, Viridiplantae, Streptophyta, Magnoliopsida, Poales, Poaceae.